AUACUUACCUGGCAGGGAAGAGACUUGAUCACCAAGGCAGUUCUCCAGGAUGAGGCUAACCCAUUGCACUUUGGUUAUGCUGAUGCCUGCGAUGUACCCGAAUGUGGGAUAGUCGAUUGCAUAAUUUGUGGUAAUGGUGGACUGUGUUCACGCUCUCCCCUG
Callorhinchus milii (elephant shark) is the source of this 162-nucleotide small nuclear RNA. Its record names the gene U1. It matches the Rfam family "U1 spliceosomal RNA". From Rfam's summary of the family: U1 is a small nuclear RNA (snRNA) component of the spliceosome (involved in pre-mRNA splicing). The record is from Ensembl. NCBI's taxonomy places the organism in Eukaryota, Metazoa, Chordata, Chondrichthyes, Chimaeriformes, Callorhinchidae.